AGGCCCACAUCUGAUUAAACCUUUUUACCCCACCCACUUCACUUCACCUACCACCACCACAAAGCCACCAUCCUCCCAUACCAAUCUCAGCCAUGGCCAUCAUCUGAAGGUACAUUUCUUCUCCCCCUCCUCUAAUUUCUUUAGCUACGUUAGUCACAAUGUAAAAAGUAUUCUCUUUUUUUUCCUCCAUUUUCUAUUCUCUUACUCUCUCUUAUAGAACCACCCUUUUUUACCAUCUUAUGCUACUCCUCAAACCCUUUAGGCAAAUAAAUGACUUCCUUGAAGAGACCCCUGUUAGAAUGUAGUUCAAGGGCCCCUAAAAAACAGCACCUUGAUUCAGCACUAUGGAUAAUCUCUGAAAAAAAUCGGACUGUGGUUGAAGAAUGCGAGAUGGAGUUUUUGCCAACUGAUGGAGAAAAGGCUCGUGAAAUUCUUGAGACCAUCAGAUCUCUAGGUUGGUGUUCCUUUGUAAAAAGUCCAGGAGAUUAUGUUAGAGAAAUUAUCCUUGAAUUUUAUACCAACCUCAACAAGCUAGAUAGGACAUCAAAGGUGAAAGCCACAUUCUUUCACAGGUCCGGACAGCAGUAGUUUUCCAGAUGCAGGUACUAGUUGGUGUCAAAUUCCACAACUCUCAAACUCAAUGCCGCUACCACCACUUGAUCCCAUGCCAUUUAGCAAUUGAGCAUUUUUCUUAGAUGUAACAACAAUCAGUGAAAUUGCUACUUCUAGCAUUCCUAUCCAUUUCUUCAAUGAAGAACCAUCUGUUGCUACUCCACACAUGGAAAAAACAAUUUUGAUAUGGAUCUUGAUUUCUUUCAUCAUGAUGGAACAGGUUUAGUAUUGAGGGUGUUCAUUUGGUACAAUGAACGAUUUAAGUGACGGGGAGUUGGUAAGUAUUCUGCUCUAUCUUUCCAUGGUUCCAAAGAUGUGGCUGAAGUUUUUGUAUAAAGGUUAUUAUAUUUUGUGGAAAAAAAAACUUAUGGUUGCUUUGGAGGCAUCUAACUGGAAGUUUUUUUUUGUUGUCUCGGUUAUGUACUUUUGUUGUACUGACAAGCUAUGAUGAUCUUGGUUGACAAUCUAACAAGAAAUAUUUUUUGCAUUAAAUAUUAAUGGCCCAUGAAGGAUAGAACUAAUGGUUUUUAUGUUUUUGAAGGAAGAACUUUUGCACUCUUGUAGGUAAGAUUUAGUGGUUGUAAAUAUAUCUUAAAUCUAUGCAUGUUGGUGUUUUUAGAUGCUUAACUUUCAUGUGAUUUUUUUUACAAAAUACUUAUCUUUGUCAUGAAAAUGAUGCAUAGCUAACACUCAUAUGCACUUUGGUAAAUUGCUCUUAAAGGGAUUCUUCUCUUUUUUAGCAGUAAAAUUGAUAAACAUUUAAGAAAUUAAAAAAUAUGAAAAAAUUUGCUUUUAGAAGAUUUUGCACAUGAAUGACUUCAAUAAAUUUUUGACAACACUUCUGGAAGUGUUUCAAAUCCAUAAGAGCUUUAAGAACUUAUAACUUUUGCCACUACUUUUGCAAAUGUAAAUAGUCUACUGCAAUGAAACUUUGAAUUUUUGAAAAUAAUUAAGACAUGAAACUCAUGAUAUAUAGUCAAUAACUAGAACUUGCCUCUAUUGUUUGUCAAGGUGAAAUCCUAGAAAAGUGCUGAUUUUGGAAAAUGAAUUAGGCCAUCUUUGGAUCGUUUGAGCCUUUUUGUUAAUCCCACCAAAAGAAAUAUAUCCUUAGUACCCAAACUUUAAGCCUAUACUUUUCUAUUCAUAAACCUUGAUGACUCCAAAGCCAAAAAGAAAAAAUUAUUAUAUAACACCCUCUUAUUAUUUUUCCUAGUCUCGUGUUUAAGAUAAAAAGGAUGACAAAUUGUAUAUAUGUGUACGAUCAAAAGGAAUGUUGGACAAUUAAGUUCCACAACAUACACAUUAUCAACUCGUAUCUUGUAUAUGUGUAAUGAAAUACAUAUCUUACUGCUCAGACUUUAUUUACUUUUACUACUUACUGAGUUGGAGUACUCACAUUACUCCCUGCACCUUGUGUGCAGAUUCAGGUAUUUCUAAACCCGGUAGCAGGUAUUGAUCGCUCAGAGGCAAAGUCAUCGGAGUUUAGCAAGGUAGCUGCCCGACGUUCGCAGCAUAGCUUCUCUCCCUCUUGUUUUCAUUAGACUAUAUUUAGUAUAUUUUGCAGACUUCUCGUUGUAUUCAGUUUUUCGUAGAUGCCCAUGACUAGUGACACCCCGAUGUCGGGCUUGUAUAUUAUUUUCGCGCUGUUCAGUUAGACUUACAUCAUGAGAUUAUUUAUUAAUAAAUGGUAUAAAAAUA
Molecule: long non-coding RNA, 2310 nt
Organism: Nicotiana tabacum (common tobacco)
Lineage: Eukaryota; Viridiplantae; Streptophyta; Magnoliopsida; Solanales; Solanaceae
Source: RefSeq, a predicted model, not a curated record